This 107-nucleotide small RNA is filed under the name Marmota monax (woodchuck). The record is from RNAcentral. Lineage: Eukaryota; Metazoa; Chordata; Mammalia; Rodentia; Sciuridae.
GCUGGGCAUGGUGGUGAAUACCUGUAAUCCCAACGGCUUGGGAGGCUGAGGCAGGAGGAUUGCAAGUUCAAAGCCAGCUUAAGCAACUUAGCAAACCCCUGUCUCAA